CAAAGAGAAGCAAAGCCGCGAGGUAGAGCAAAUCUCAAAAAAAACAUCUCAGUUCAGACUGCAGGCUGCAACUCGCCUGCACGAAGUCGGAAUUGCUAGUAAUCGUAGGUCAGCAUACUACGGUGAAUACGUUCCCGGGCCUUGUACACACCGCCCGUCAAACCAUGAGAGUUGGCAACACCCGAAGUCGGUAGUCUAACCGCAAGGAGGACGCCGCCGAAGGUGGGGUUGAUGAUUAGGGUUAAGUCGUAACAAGGUACC
RNAcentral lists this ribosomal RNA (261 nucleotides) under uncultured bacterium. RNAcentral describes it as "partial 16S ribosomal RNA". It matches the Rfam family "Bacterial small subunit ribosomal RNA", at positions 1240 to 1500 of the family's 1533-position model. The record is from RNAcentral.